Diceros bicornis minor is the source of this 450-nucleotide non-coding RNA. The record is from the annotation of a RefSeq genome assembly. Lineage: Eukaryota; Metazoa; Chordata; Mammalia; Perissodactyla; Rhinocerotidae.
AAUCAACAACAUUAUUUAGAUGACACUCUAGAGAUGAACUCUGCUCCAGGCUUAGUGAUUGUGGUACUCUUAAUGCUUCGACAAACCUAUGGAGACUCAGUGACCCAGAUGGAAGGCCAAGUGACUCUCUCAGAAGGGGAUUCCCUGACUAUAAACUGUACUUAUUCAGCCACAGGGUACCCUGCACUUUUCUGGUAUGUUCAAUAUCCUGGUGUUGGUCCACAGCUCCUCCUGAAAGCCGUGACAGCCAAGGAGAAGGGAAGCAACAAAGGUUUUGAAGCCACAUACAAUAAAGAAACCACCUCCUUCCACUUGGAGAAAGCCUCAGUCCAAGAAUCAGACUCCGCUGUGUACUACUGUGCCAUGAGUGACACAGUGACGGGAGCUGCAGGGGGAGCUGAGCACAAACUCAGAGCAGCAACAAGGGGCCUGGCUGCUGAGUGUCUCUGA